Long non-coding RNA from Rosa rugosa (rugosa rose), 1459 nucleotides. RefSeq lists it as uncharacterized. Lineage: Eukaryota; Viridiplantae; Streptophyta; Magnoliopsida; Rosales; Rosaceae. The transcript is spliced from 5 exons. The record is from RefSeq and is a predicted model, not a curated record.
AUUUUGUGGUGAAAUAAACUUAUCUCUGAAUAUUAUGCUUAGUAUAAUGUAAUGAAAUGUGUAUAUGUACUUAAGUUUUUGAAAGUAGAUAAUCAAUCAUGCGCAAAUAAUUUUUAACAUUCAAGAUAUCUUAGGUAUUAUUGACGCGCGCCUUGAUAUAUAGUAAAGAAUCUAGUCUAAGUCCAUACUCUGCAGAUAUUAGACUAUAUUUUAUAAUCCAUCCACGUCUUUGUCACAACUUAUGGUAUAUAAUUUUAGGCUAAGAGACUUUUGAGAAUGUAGCGGAAGUCAUAAUUCGUAUAUAUCUUUGGCCAUUUAAGAAUACUGCUAAAUGUUAAUUUGCUUGAGCAGGCUUGAUAACUUACAACUUCAAGAAAAAUAAAUGAAUCCAACUUCUACUGUUAAGGCCAUUGGUCACAGUCUUUCAAUUGUAUCUCUUCUCAAUAUGUUCCAGCAAUAUAUGAGCUAUGAAGGAAGUUCUAUUUGUACAAAGGAAGAGAUUUCUGUUCCAGCAAUAUAUGUCAGAGUGGUAAUUCAUGAUUAAAAUGUUCACUGGUAUGUGAUUACAUUACUGCAGGUUGCUGAGGGGGAGAUUCCACUCGUGGUAGCUAAAGGAGAGGAGAUAGCACGUUAUAAAGGACUUGAUCCGACAGAGCGUUUACUAAUGUUAAAAGCACUAUGUGAACUCCGAGCCAAUGUAUUUACUCCUUUGUCAUUAUUUUUUCUGUUUCUUAAUGUCAAGUGGUGUACAUACCGGAUAUCCUAGCUUUAUGUUACCAAUUGUUGUUGCCUGAACAUGUCAAUACAUGUUCCAAGUAUAUUCAGGUGUCUGUUCUGUUUUUCCCUUUAGUUUCUAGUUGUGUGAAAUAAUUAACUCAUUCUUUUUGUAUCCAGCAAGAUGAUGCAGUGGCUUAUAUUAAUGAUGCUCUGAAACAAGGAACUGAAAUUUCUUCAUUCCGCAAAGAUAAGAUAGGAGGAGACGAAAAGAGGACUUCUUAUUGGUAUGAUGGAAAUACAAUAAUAGGUCAUAGAUUAUACAAGGAAGUAACUGUCACUGAGUCGAAGACAAAAGUUAGGGGAACAGGGUGUUUGAACCUACCAAAUAUCAGUUUCUAGUGGGAAACACUAGCAACCAAUCUCGAGGAAUUUCAGAAAGUUAUGGAUGAACUCUCAUCAAGCAAAUUUGCAGGAGAACGUGAUGCUGCUAAGACUAUUGAAACUGAUGCUAUUCCUGCUCUUGAGAAACUUCAGAAGUUACAAGACGGCUGCCAAUGGAUUCUCUACUAAGCUCACUCAACAGCAAAAGUAAAGGCUGUUGUUGAUGCGAAAGUAAAGGUUGUUGUUGAUGCAACUUCUACUGGCAUCUUCAUUUUCAUCAUAAAGUGUGUUCUUCAAGACUUGGUUGGUUUCAACAUUUUACUAAAUUUUGUUAGAAAACUAGUUCUGUUGAUGUAAUGAC